RNAcentral lists this long non-coding RNA (475 nucleotides) under Homo sapiens (human). RNAcentral describes it as "HSALNT0243424". Lineage: Eukaryota; Metazoa; Chordata; Mammalia; Primates; Hominidae. The record is from RNAcentral.
GGAAAUGGAAGGCUUGCAUACUUAACAGUAUCCUCUCCCACUUAGGUAAGGAACCUGCUGCGCGUGAGAUCCCAUUACCAAGUAAAGGGUCACUGAAAGGCGAUAACAAGAGAAAGGGCUCAUGUCUGACUGCCAGUGUUAGCAUAAAGGAGAGCCAUUUUGCCAAGAACAAUACAGCCUGUGGAACUCACCAGAGAAGUGCCCCAGUAACAACCCGACCUGCAUUAUUUGCAAACCAUGACCUGGAUGUUCCGAAGAUAGCAGCCACACAAAAUUCUCCGCCCAUCGAUUUGCUGGGUGAAAUUUGUGGAGGAGGUUUAACUUUGCUUAAAAAAUAAAAUAAGAGUAAAAAACAAUUAUCAUGAUGAAAUGAUACUCCUUUAGGUAAUGACAGUUUUUCCUUUAAAUUCCACCCCUAUUCAAAUCCUCCAGUAUGAACAUGCAUUUUGCCUUAAGUAAUAAAUGGUGAUGUGAG